GAUCUCUCAGGGGCAAGCAUGUUUCUCUUGGAUAAGAGUGGGGUGAAAGGCACUAUCGAAGUCUGAAUGCUGGUUGCAGAAGAUAAUUUGAAGAAUGGGAACAUUAAGCCAUACUCAUUCAACCUACUCUUUAAGAGUUUGACAGGAGGGCCUAUACCUGCAUAUGCUCCCACCUCCAUCCCAAGGGGAAAAAGAUGUCAAUGAUGGAGAAAUGCAAGAUUUGAUUGGACAGGUGACUUGCUCCAGAUCAAGGCCAAGCUCAC
RNAcentral lists this long non-coding RNA (263 nucleotides) under Equus caballus (horse). RNAcentral's name for it is "lncRNA (ENSECAG00000055652.1)". The record is from RNAcentral. Lineage: Eukaryota; Metazoa; Chordata; Mammalia; Perissodactyla; Equidae.